This 375-nucleotide ribosomal RNA is filed under the name uncultured organism. Its description in RNAcentral is "partial 16S ribosomal RNA". It matches the Rfam family "Bacterial small subunit ribosomal RNA", at positions 527 to 896 of the family's 1533-position model. The record is from RNAcentral.
GAACUGUGCAAACGUUAUUCGGAAUCACUGGGCUUAAAGGGUGCGUAGGCGGGUUUAAAGGUCUGAUGUGAAAAGCCCACGGGCUCAACCGUGGGAAUUGCGUUGGAAACCAUAAGCCUUGAGGAGAUCAGAGGUGAGCGGAACUGAUGGUGGAGCGGUGAAAUGCGUUGAUAUUAUCAGGAACACCGGUGGCGAAAGCGGCUCACUGGGAUCUUUCUGACGCUGAGGCACAAAAGCUAGGGGAGCGAACGGGAUUAGAUACCCCGGUAGUCCUAGCUGUAAACGAUCAGUACUAGUCUGUGGGGGCUUCCACACCCUCUCGGACGUAGCGAAAGUGUUAAGUACUGCGCCUGGGGAGUAUGGUCGCAAAGGCUG